UGGGGGAAUAUUGCACAAUGGGCGCAAGCCUGAUGCAGCCAUGCCGCGUGUGUGAAGAAGGCCUUCGGGUUGUAAAGCACUUUCAGCGAGGAGGAAAGGUGGUGAGCUUAAUACGCUCAUCAAUUGACGUUACUCGCAGAAGAAGCACCGGCUAACUCCGUGCCAGCAGCCGCGGUAAUACGGAGGGUGCAAGCGUAAUCGGAAUUACUGGGCGUAAAGCGCACGCAGCGGUUUGUUAAGUCAGAUGUGAAAUCCCCGGGCUCAACCUGGGAACUGCAUUUGAAACUGGCAAGCUAGAGUCUCGUAGAGGGGGGUAGAAUUCCAGGUGUAGCGGUGAAAUGCGUAGAGAUCUGGAGGAAUACCGGUGGCGAAGGCGGCCCCCUGGACGAAGACUGACGCUCAGGUGCG
Molecule: ribosomal RNA, 408 nt
Filed under: uncultured bacterium
Lineage: Bacteria
Description: partial 16S ribosomal RNA
Rfam family: Bacterial small subunit ribosomal RNA
Source: RNAcentral